This 372-nucleotide unclassified non-coding RNA is filed under the name soil metagenome. Its description in RNAcentral is "partial contains 5.8S ribosomal RNA, internal transcribed spacer 2, and large subunit ribosomal RNA". The stretch from base 1 to 120 matches the Rfam family "5.8S ribosomal RNA", at positions 35 to 154 of the family's 154-position model. The record is from RNAcentral.
GAUGAAGAACGCAGCGAAAUGCGAUAAGUAAUGUGAAUUGCAGAAUUCAGUGAAUCAUCGAAUCUUUGAACGCACAUUGCGCCCUUUGGUAUUCCGAAGGGCAUGCCUGUUCGAGCGUCAUUAUCACCCCUCAAGCCCUCGGCUUGGUGUUGGACGGUUUGGUGGAGGCCCCCUCGGGGGCUCCUGCCCCUCCCAAAGACAAUGACGGCGGCCUCGUUGGACCCCCGGUACACUGAGUUCUUCACGGGACACAUAUCGGACACAUGGGUUUACGGGACACGGUCUGCCUCCCCUCAGGGAGAAUCUUUCUAAGGUUGACCUCGGAUCAGGUAGGGAUACCCGCUGAACUUAAGCAUAUCAAUAAGCGGAGGA